This 483-nucleotide ribosomal RNA is filed under the name uncultured bacterium. RNAcentral describes it as "bacterial SSU rRNA". It matches the Rfam family "Bacterial small subunit ribosomal RNA", at positions 28 to 508 of the family's 1533-position model. The record is from RNAcentral.
GAUGAACGCUGGCGGCGUGCCUAACACAUGCAAGUCGAACGGAGUUGUCACCAUGAAGUUUUCGGAUGGAUUGGUAACAACUUAGUGGCGGACGGGUGAGUAACGCGUGGGUAACCUGCCUCAUACUGGGGGAUAACAGCUGGAAACGGCUGCUAAAACCGCAUAAGAUCGCAUCACCGCAUGGUGAGGCGGUUAAAUAUCGAAAGAUAGGUAUGAGAUGGGCCCGCGUCUGAUUAGCUAGUUGGUGAGAUAAGAGCCCACCAAGGCGACGAUCAGUAGCCGGCUUGAGAGAGUGACCGGCCACAUUGGGACUGAGACACGGCCCAAACUCCUACGGGAGGCAGCAGUGGGGAAUAUUGCACAAUGGGGGAAACCCUGAUGCAGCGACGCCGCGUGAGUGAAGAAGUGCUUCGGCAUGUAAAGCUCUAUCAGCAGGGAAGAAGAUGACGGUACCUGACUAAGAAGCCCGGACGAACUACGUCG